RNAcentral lists this ribosomal RNA (442 nucleotides) under uncultured bacterium. Its description in RNAcentral is "partial 16S ribosomal RNA". It matches the Rfam family "Bacterial small subunit ribosomal RNA", at positions 338 to 795 of the family's 1533-position model. The record is from RNAcentral.
CCUACGGGUGGCAGCAGUGAGGAAUAUUGGGCAAUGGGCGCAAGCCUGACCCAGCAACGCAGCGUGAAGGAAGAAGGCCCUCUGGGUUGAAACCUCUUUUAAGAGGGAAGUGCAGAAGACGGUACCUCUUGAAUAAGCCACGGCUAACUACGUGCCAGCAGCCGAGGUAAUACGAAGGGUGCAAGCGUUGUCCGGAUUUAGUGGGUGUAAAGGGCGUGCAGGCGGGAAGACAAGUCAGAUGUGAAAUCCCGCGGCUCAACCGGAGAACUGCAUUUGAAACUGUUUUUCUUGAGUACAGGAGAGGUAAGCGGAAUUCGUUGUGUAGCGGUGAAAUGCGUAGAUAUCAGGAAGAACACCGGUGGCGAAGGCGGAUGACUGGACGGUAACUGACGGUGAGGCGCGAAAGCGUGGGGAGCAAACAGGAUUAGAUACCCUGGUAGUC